UGGCUUGCUGGGGGGAUUAGUGGCGAACGGGUGAGUAACACGUGAGUAACCUGCCCUUGACUCUGGGAUAAGCCUGGGAAACUGGGUCUAAUACCGGAUACGACCAUCUGGCGCAUGUCAUGGUGGUGGAAAGCUUUUGUGGUUUUGGAUGGACUCGCGGCCUAUCAGCUUGUUGGUGGGGUAAUGGCCUACCAAGGCGACGACGGGUAGCCGGCCUGAGAGGGUGACCGGCCACACUGGGACUGAGACACGGCCCAGACUCCUACGGGAGGCAGCAGUGGGGAAUAUUGCACAAUGGGCGCAAGCCUGAUGCAGCGACGCCGCGUGAGGGAUGACGGCCUUCGGGUUGUAAACCUCUUUCAGUAGGGAAGAAGCGAAAGUGACGGUACCUGCAGAAGAAGCGCCGGCUAACUACGUGCCAGCAGCCGCGGUAAUACGUAGGGCGCAAGCGUUAUCCGGAAUUAUUGGGCGUAAAGAGCUCGUAGGCGGUUUGUCGCGUCUGCUGUGAAAGACCGGGGCUCAACUCCGGUUCUGCAGUGGGUACGGGCAGACUAGAGUGCAGUAGGGGAGACUGGAAUUCCUGGUGUAGCGGUGAAAUGCGCAGAUAUCAGGAGGAACACCGAUGGCGAAGGCAGGUCUCUGGGCUGUAACUGACGCUGAGGAGCGAAAGCAUGGGGAGCGAACAGGAUUAGAUACCCUGGUAGUCCAUGCCGUAAACGUUGGGCACUAGGUGUGGGGGACAUUCCACGUUUUCCGCGCCGUAGCUAACGCAUUAAGUGCCCCGCCUGGGGAGUACGGCCGCAAGGCUAAAACUCAAAGGAAUUGACGGGGGCCCGCACAAGCGGCGGAGCAUGCGGAUUAAUUCGAUGCAACGCGAAGAACCUUACCAAGGCUUGACAUGAACCGGAAAGACCUGGAAACAGGUGCCCCGCUUGCGGUCGGUUUACAGGUGGUGCAUGGUUGUCGUCAGCUCGUGUCGUGAGAUGUUGGGUUAAGUCCCGCAAC
Molecule: ribosomal RNA, 1005 nt
Filed under: Arthrobacter sp.
Lineage: Bacteria; Bacillati; Actinomycetota; Actinomycetes; Micrococcales; Micrococcaceae
Description: bacterial SSU rRNA
Rfam family: Bacterial small subunit ribosomal RNA
Source: RNAcentral